Molecule: unclassified non-coding RNA, 348 nt
Filed under: soil metagenome
Description: partial contains 5.8S ribosomal RNA, internal transcribed spacer 2, and large subunit ribosomal RNA
Rfam family: 5.8S ribosomal RNA (bases 1-120)
Source: RNAcentral
GAUGAAGAACGUAGCGAAAUGCGAUACGUAAUGUGAAUUGCAGAAUUCAGUGAAUCAUCGAGUCUUUGAACGCACAUUGCGCCCCCUGGUAUUCCGGCGGGCAUGCCUGUUCGAGCGUCAUUUCAACCCUCAAGCCCCCGGGUUUGGUGUUGGGGAUCGGCUCUGCCCUUCUGGGCGGUGCCGCCCCCGAAAUACAUUGGCGGUCUCGCUGCAGCCUCCAUUGCGUAGUAGCUAACACCUCGCAACUGGAACGCGGCGCGGCCAUGCCGUAAAACCCCAACUUCUGAAUGUUGACCUCGGAUCAGGUAGGAAUACCCGCUGAACUUAAGCAUAUCAAUAAGCGGAGGA